Molecule: ribosomal RNA, 497 nt
Filed under: uncultured bacterium
Lineage: Bacteria
Description: partial 16S ribosomal RNA
Rfam family: Bacterial small subunit ribosomal RNA
Source: RNAcentral
GAUGAACGCUGGCGGCGUGCCUAAUACAUGCAAGUCGAGCGAACGGACGAGAAGCUUGCUCCCCUGAUGUUAGCGGCGGACGGGCGAGUAACACGUGGAUAACCUACCUAUAAGACUGGGAUAACUUCGUGAAACCGGAGCUAAUACCGCAUAAUAUUUUGAACCGCAUGGUUCAAAAGUGAAAGACGGUUUUGCUGUCACUUAUAGAUGGAUCCGCGCUGCAUUAGCUAGUUGGUAAGGUAACGGCUUACCAAGGCAACGAUGCAUAGCCGACCUGAGAGGGUGAUCGGCCACACUGGAACUGAGACACGGUCCAGACUCCUACGGGAGGCAGCAGUAGGGAAUCUUCCACAAUGGGCGAAAGCCUGACGGAGCAACGCCGCGUGAGUGAUGAAGGUCUUCGGAUCGUAAAACUCUGUUAUUAGGGAAGAACAUAUGUGUAAGUAACUGUGCACAUCUUGACGGUACCUAAUCAGAAAGCCACGGCUAACUACGUG